GAUGAACGCUGGCGGCGUGCCUAAUACAUGCAAGUCGAGCGAACAGACGAGGAGCUUGCUCCUCUGACGUUAGCGGCGGACGGGUGAGUAACACGUGGAUAACCUACCUAUAAGACUGGGAUAACUUCGGGAAACCGGAGCUAAUACCGGAUAAUAUAUUGAACCGCAUGGUUCAAUAGUGAAAGACGGUUUUGCUGUCACUUAUAGAUGGAUCCGCGCCGCAUUAGCUAGUUGGUAAGGUAACGGCUUACCAAGGCGACGAUGCGUAGCCGACCUGAGAGGGUGAUCGGCCACACUGGAACUGAGACACGGUCCAGACUACUACGGGAGGCAGCAGUAGGGAAUCUUCCGCAAUGGGCGAAAGCCUGACGGAGCAACGCCGCGUGAGUGAUGAAGGUCUUCGGAUCGUAAAACUCUGUUAUGAGGGAAGAACAAAUGUGUAAGUAACUAUGCACGUCUUGACGGUACCUAAUCAGAAAGCCACGGCUAACUACGUG
RNAcentral lists this ribosomal RNA (497 nucleotides) under uncultured bacterium. Its description in RNAcentral is "partial 16S ribosomal RNA". It matches the Rfam family "Bacterial small subunit ribosomal RNA", at positions 28 to 507 of the family's 1533-position model. The record is from RNAcentral.